Trichonephila inaurata madagascariensis is the source of this 75-nucleotide non-coding RNA. The record is from the annotation of a GenBank genome assembly. NCBI's taxonomy places the organism in Eukaryota, Metazoa, Arthropoda, Arachnida, Araneae, Nephilidae.
GGUUCCGUAGUGUAGGGUUUUUCACGUUCGCUUCACACGCGAAAAAGGGCCCGGGUUUGAUCCCGGGCGGAACCA